This 253-nucleotide ribosomal RNA is filed under the name uncultured bacterium. RNAcentral's name for it is "partial 16S ribosomal RNA". It matches the Rfam family "Bacterial small subunit ribosomal RNA", at positions 524 to 776 of the family's 1533-position model. The record is from RNAcentral.
UACAGAGGGUGCUAGCGUUACUCGGAUUUACUGGGCGUAAAGCGUGUGUAGGCGGUUCGUUAAGUCGGGCGUGAAAUCCCUGGGCUCAACCCGGGAAUUGCAUUCGAUACUGGCGAGCUAGAGUACGGUAGAGGGCGGCGGAAUUCCGGGUGUAGCGGUGAAAUGCGUAGAUAUCCGGAGGAACACCGAUGGCGAAGGCAACCGCCUGGGCCUGUACUGACGCUGAGACACGAAAGCGUGGGGAGCAAACAGG